Molecule: small nucleolar RNA, 126 nt
Filed under: Panthera pardus (leopard)
Lineage: Eukaryota; Metazoa; Chordata; Mammalia; Carnivora; Felidae
Description: Small nucleolar RNA SNORA31 (ENSPPRG00000016730.1)
Source: RNAcentral
AUGUAUCUAUUUGACCGACAUGGGACACUUCUUGUAUGCUGCUAAGGGUUUCACUAUAGAUACAACAGGAAAGUAUCCUUGAGCUUUCUGAAUGUAGCAGCCAAGAUUGAAUGGGAGAAUAAAGUA